GACGAACGCUGGCGGCGUGCUUAACACAUGCAAGUCGAACGGUGAAGGGAUCAGCUUGCUGGUUCUGGAUGAGUGGCGAACCGGUGAGUAACACGUGAGUAACCUGCCCCCUUCUUCUGGAUAACCGCAUGAAAGUGUGGCUAAUACGGGAUAUUCUGGGUCUGUCGCAUGAUGGGUCUGGGAAAGAUAUUGUUUCGGUGGGGGAUGGGCUCGCGGCCUAUCAGCUUGUUGGUGGGGUGAUGGCCUACCAAGGCGGUGACGGGUAGCCGGCCUGAGAGGGUGGACGGUCACACUGGGACUGAGACACGGCCCAGACUCCUACGGGAGGCAGCAGUGGGGAAUAUUGCACAAUGGGCGCAAGCCUGAUGCAGCGACGCCGCGUGAGGGAGGGAGGCCUUCGGGUUGUAAACCUCUUUCGCCAGUGAAGCAGGCCUGCUCCUUGUGGGUGGGUUGACGGUAGCUGGAUAAGAAGCGCCGGCUAACUACGUG
This 489-nucleotide ribosomal RNA is filed under the name uncultured bacterium. RNAcentral describes it as "partial 16S ribosomal RNA". It matches the Rfam family "Bacterial small subunit ribosomal RNA", at positions 28 to 507 of the family's 1533-position model. The record is from RNAcentral.